UUCAUCACUAACAAUUCUGUUUUCACACUUAUCCAGCCAAGUUGCGAGAGAAACCCCUGAAGUAGUCUAAAACACAUAUUCAGUUAUCAAAAUUUUUGGUCCUCAAGUCACUUUGAUUUUACUAAAAGCAAUCAUUUGAAGGACAUCUUGUCAGCUGGAAUCCCAAACAAACAGACGAGCGUGAAACAGGAGAAAAAAGAACAGAAAAAUAAACGUGAAAGAGCUACAUAAUGUGAGAUACCAUCUACUCAAAAGUGUUUUAAUAAGCAGAUUUUGUUGAUUUAUACAUUUCUAUUGCGUGAAUAGAUUCAUUGGAUCUGUAAAACAACACCGGAUUUUAAGGGAUUUUAAACUACAUUUGCUUAAAGACACGGGGCAUUAUCCAAGGGCUGCCAUUCUGUAUGUUGAUACAGCUGUUGACCUACCAGAACCUACAUACUUGAUGAUAAUAACUCAAAAACUGUCUCUUUACCAGCCUUUAAUCAAGUAGGAAAGAUUUGUUGGAGCUCUCACUGCCUUCUAUAAAACCUGCUGUUUGGUACCCAUGGAAUACCAAAUUCUCACAACUGCUAGGCCACUCGCUAGUGCUGUAUAUCCAUACAAUUCUGUCCCAGACCCUGCCUUGUAUGCCUAGCAACAUGUGAAGAUUUCUAUUUCUAAAUCCAGUCAUUCCAGUUGUACUUAUUACUGUCAUUAUGCAGUCUCAUUAAAUAUUAUUAAAAGCAAUUAUUAUGGAUAUGAAGAACAAAAGAUCUACUUCCUCUACAAAAACCAAAUCAAAUGCAUUGAAAAGAGACAAUAAAGUCAGGUCACCUUAAAAAUAAAUACUGUCAUCUUAAGUUUGACCAAGACAACCAUAAAAGAUUGAGGAAGGAAAUCAGAUCAUUUAAAAAUGGGAAGAAUAGUGGUCUUAGAUUGCUUUGUAAGUUUCUGUAAGUUCCUCCUUCACCUAAGAAACUGAAGCUUCACAUGGCCAAUGAUGCUGUGUAGGUGUCACUUGUCUGUGAGAGCCAAUGAAGAACAUUAAUCAGAAGAACCAAACUCAAGAACAAGGUCAUUUCCUGCUUCACAAGGGCCAUCUUUACUUUGAAAGAUACAGAAAGACUGUGUAUAUCCUUGCUUGUGAUCUUCCCAAUCAGUAGCAUCUGUUUCUAGGUCAGAUGGCAUACAAGUUCCUCCUCUGCUAAGAGUUACUGCUUUUGUGCC
This 1206-nucleotide long non-coding RNA is filed under the name Homo sapiens (human). RNAcentral describes it as "HSALNT0393561". The record is from RNAcentral. Lineage: Eukaryota; Metazoa; Chordata; Mammalia; Primates; Hominidae.